Molecule: unclassified non-coding RNA, 257 nt
Filed under: fungal sp.
Lineage: Eukaryota; Fungi
Description: partial internal transcribed spacer region
Rfam family: Eukaryotic small subunit ribosomal RNA (bases 1-46)
Source: RNAcentral
AAGUCGUAACAAGGUUUCCGUAGGUGAACCUGCGGAAGGAUCAUUAACACUUUUAUGUGCUACUCUAAACCAAACCUGGUGACCAAACCCUGCUCGUGGGUUAGAAUGUGUUGGUUGUCAACACUUCUAGCUUCGCGAGGAUAAAUAACUGUUUAUUUUAACUUUUAUUACUUUAAUACUAACCUUCAUUUGCUGGUCUCCAUGCCAGUGAAUUAACAAAACGCGAACAACUCUUAGCAGUGGAUAUCUUGGUUCUC